This 468-nucleotide ribosomal RNA is filed under the name uncultured bacterium. Its description in RNAcentral is "partial 16S ribosomal RNA". It matches the Rfam family "Bacterial small subunit ribosomal RNA", at positions 28 to 507 of the family's 1533-position model. The record is from RNAcentral.
GACGAACGCUGGCGGCGUGCUUAACACAUGCAAGUCGAACGGAAAGGCCCUGCUUUUGUGGGGUGCUCGAGUGGCGAACGGGUGAGUAACACGUGGGUAACCUGCCCUUGACUUUGGGAUAACUUCAGGAAACUGGGGCUAAUACCGGAUAGGAGCUCCUGCUGCAUGGUGGGGGUUGGAAAGUUUCGGCGGUUGGGGAUGGACUCGCGGCUUAUCAGCUUGUUGGGGGGGUAGUGGCUUACCAAGGCUUUGACGGGUAGCCGGCCUGAGAGGGUGACCGGCCACAUUGGUACUGAGAUACGGCCCAGACUCCUACGGGAGGCAGCAGUGGGGAAUAUUGCACAAUGGGCGGAAGCCUGAUGCAGCAACGCCGCGUGCGGGAUGACGGCCUUCGGGUUGUAAACCGCUUUCGCCUGUGACGAAGCGUGAGUGACGGUAAUGGGUAAAGAAGCACCGGCUAACUACGUG